This 184-nucleotide non-coding RNA is filed under the name Paenalicyclobacillus ferrooxydans. The record is from RNAcentral. Lineage: Bacteria; Bacillati; Bacillota; Bacilli; Caryophanales; Alicyclobacillaceae.
CCGCAUACUAGGAAUAACGGUCUCACCUUAAGUGAGUGAAAUGGGAAUCCGGUGAAAAUCCGGGACAGCCCCCGCUACUGUGAGUGAAUACGAAAUCUCAGGUGCCACUGCAGCUGAUGCUGCGGGAAGGCGAGAGAGUAGGUAAGUCACGAGUCAGGAGACCAGCCGAUUAUCCUUUUGUGAU